CCUGUGCCCGAUAGAGACCCUUGUAAAACGUGCCGCUGCCUCAAUGGGGAGGUUAAGUGUGACACGAUAUCCUGUCCAAAGCUGGCAUGCUACGACACGUUCAAACCGUCCGGAAGGUGCUGUCCACGCUGUAAAGAAAGUUGCACGCGUGACGGCAAAACAUACGAACACGGAAAACCGGUUCCGGACGCUGACCCAUGCAGGAAUUGGACGUGCGACAACGGUAGAGUGAAAUGUGACAUCGUGGUCUGCCCGAUACUGAACUGCUACGUCACAGUCCCGCAGCCAGGCAAAUGUUGUCCGAUAUGUAAAGAAUAUAACAAAUGCAAGAAGAGCGACCAAGAAUACAAGCAUGG
Long non-coding RNA from Dreissena polymorpha, 356 nucleotides. RefSeq lists it as uncharacterized. The transcript has 4 exons. The record is from RefSeq and is a predicted model, not a curated record. NCBI's taxonomy places the organism in Eukaryota, Metazoa, Mollusca, Bivalvia, Myida, Dreissenidae.